AUUUUAAUGAACAUCAAUAACAAGACAAUGCAAGUAAAAUCACAUGAGAAGAAGACAUUUCCAAUAAUUUGCAUACCCUUACCACUAAAAUUAAUACAGAUGGAUAUGCACAUGGCAGCAGAAAUUGGUAUAUUUUCAUGGCUGAUGGCUUGCCUUGUAAUUUUCUUUGCAUAAAUUUUGUAUAUACAAUGGGAUAUUUUCCUGUAAAAAGUAUCUUAAGAUGAUAUCCCAUAUAGAAAAUGCACAUCCAAUAACCUACAUCAAAGUUGACGCUUCCUAAAAUUUCCAAGGUAAUUGCUGCCUCUCAUCUCAGAGCUGCUUGAGAAGCUGUAAUCCAAUUAAACUUUGGCCAGUGAGAGAAUCACCAUGGAAGUUUAGUGAGAGAAUCACCAUAGAAGUUUUACUUCGUGUCUUUCUUCUGACAUCUGAAAAUGAAGCCAUCUUCAUAUGCCUUCAAACUCAAGAUUGACUUAGCAAAUGGCAGAUGCUGCUGAUGCCAAUGUUUUAUUGCGGAAUUACUUUGAUUUGGCAUGCACAAACUAAGGAACAUCGCCCAUAUGUGGCUGUGCCUGUAGGGUUGAAUGCUCAGCUUCUUCAUCAUCAGAUGUGGUAAAAGACAAACUUGGGGGCUCCUAAAGGCCAACAAUGAAACACAUAAAUAAGCAAAGCAUAAUCAUUGAUUAGUGCAAUAUAUCUUAACUAUAGGAACGAUGUAGAAUCUCAUAUUUUGUCCAGAAUUUACUUGUUGAUGGUGGCGAUGCUGGAGAGCAGUUACUGCUCUCAUGAUAACAUAUAUUGGAAGAACAAUCCCAGCAAUUCGUAGAAAUAACAACAUAAGCAAUGGGAAGGAAAUUUCAUUGGUAUUAAGGAUGACAGGAAGAGUAUGCCUUAGAAUCAAAAGAACCAUAAAAGCUACAGCAACUGAGCGACAGCAGAUUGAGUUUCUUGUUGAAGCUGAAUCCUCUUCAUACUCAGGAUUAAGGAAAUUACGGUCAGUUGACACCAUUGCUAUAAAGCGGGGACCAUGCAAGUCUCUUCCUGAAUUCUCCCAAUUUCCCCUGAGGUUCACUGGAAUACGUCCAAUUUGAAACAGAGGUGGGGGAGCUGUGUAACCAGGUGUGAAUUGCUGAUGGCAUAUCUCACAUAUGGUGUUACCCUUCUCAUUACACCACCUCUGAACACAUCUGCGGUGAGCAUACUGCACAUGUGAAGAGUCAGUAUGAUUGUCUAACAAAGGUUGUAGAAGCAACGUGGUUAAAUCAACACCUUCAGGAUUGAGCCAGAAACAUGUGUACAGCUUAGCUAUAGACAAUUUACAGAACUGCAAAGAAAUAAGUAGGAUAUCCUUGCUGUUGGGCUGGAAUGUGCAAGCAAUUUUUGAUUAUCAAGUAGCCUUUGUUGCAGUAUCACUGCAUCAAAUGCUAUGCAACAAGAAGCCUAUGUGCUUAAUAUAACAUGUAGAAGUCCACUUUCCAUCUUGAAAACUGACAUGAUAUUAUCAAAUCCUUUUCUGUUUGGAACACGAUGAUUCAGUGCAAAUUUCCACAGUAUAAUAGAGGAAGCAAAAUCCUUAAGCUCACCAAGAUUUGAAUAAUGAAAUGGUUAUAUGAAUGAAACUAUUUGCAGUGACAGAUCUAAUGUUUCAAAUUACACGAGGAAAAAUAAUUUGGUUUUGGCCAUUGAAGGAAGGAAGGAAGGAAUAAGGCCGCCAUCAAGACAAUAAUAAUCUCACCUUUCAAAACAAAUUAUUGUUCUUCCUUCAAACAUUAAAAACAAUUAUAAAAAUAACAGUAAAGUCAAAUGUCAAACUCAGUGAUUGAUUGAAAACGAAAUUUUUUAAACCCCAAAUUGGUAAAAUAGCCAAAAGAAAAUCUAAUUUGGCAAUUAACUUGACAGUCAAAUCAGUUAAAUGGAAAGAGACAUGGACCAAUAUUGUCGAAUAAUUCAUAAAAAAAAAAAUAUUGCAUAUAAAAUGGAAAAUGUUCUUUUAAGCUCAAAACAAAUAUACAUUUCCAAAGCUUGAAACUAUAUGAGCAAAUAAAAGCCUUACUAACCUUCAGGCUCCCACAACAAGAGCAAGGUGUCUCCAUAUUGGAAUCUUCAUCCUCGUCCUGGCAUAUCCUGCACUCCACCAUUUUCAUGGGAGUA
RNAcentral lists this unclassified non-coding RNA (2148 nucleotides) under Hevea brasiliensis (rubber tree). Lineage: Eukaryota; Viridiplantae; Streptophyta; Magnoliopsida; Malpighiales; Euphorbiaceae. The record is from RNAcentral.